UACACGCAGUCUGCGGUUGUUUGGCCGGUUGGACGUACUGCCUAAUUCUCUAAAGCGAUGUUGAAGGCAUUCAAUUCUUUGGCAACAGCUCUGGUGGACAUUCCUGCAGGCAGCAUGCCAAUUGUACACUCCCUCAAGAUCUCUAAGCUUGUGUUAACUUCAGACAUUAUUUGCUGCAUUUAUUCCAAAACCCUAUAGAGUAGCACAGUAUGUCAUAAUACCCAUAAAACCUAGUGGUCAAACAGGGAAAUUCUUCCAAUUGUUUUUCCACCAUUCAUUUUUCCCAUAGGUGAUUUUGGAAACACUUAAAAUAAUGGCUGGAUUUUGUGUAGGCAUACCCUGGCAUGACGUUUUGAUAACCGUGUAAAUCUUACUUUUAUCCAUAUUUGCCCUGUAUUUACCCCCACAAAACGAGACUGUCGAAUCGAGGCAAAGGUAAGAAUCUCUGUAUUAACUAUCUAAUGUUAGAUAAAUGUAGUAAUGAAUAAAUGUGGAAACAAUUAUUUAAAUGGACAAUUCUGUGAUCUGUCUUGUGCAAGUUUUAAAUUGACACAAUAAUUGUUAGCAAAGGUGUCCGCUAGAGAUGGCGUGCAGGAGCUUUCAGAGAUUUGUGGUUUUGCAUGAUGUUUGAUUCGAAAAUGCUAAUUAGCAUAAAAGUAGAGUAAAUACAGCCGAAUAUAUUGAUAAAAGUCACCUUGUCCGAGAGCGCUUUAAAUGGUUAUCAAAACGUCACCUCCACUAUUCUUUCGCCAUUAAUUUUGCUCAUAGGGAUGGCUGAGCGAACCAGAGGUAACUCAUUUCCGGGUUGUAGGACUCAAAGCUGGCGAGCUCUGUUGCUCGGCAAUAUUGCCUCAAAGAAUUAUCAUGGCCUUUAUGUAUGCCGUUGACCAAGCAUGUUAGCGUUGCAAUCUGACUUUGUUGCCUUAUUAAGGCCAUGUUGCAAGUUAAAUUUGCCAAUAUAAAUAGAUUAUACACCAAUUGUAGAUGGCAAAAACAUUUGCCCUGGCUGCCAAAGAAAGAACUGAGAAGGGUAGUAAACGCCCCCUCAAGUGCAUGCAUGUGAUUUUGCGUGUGACGCUCAUUAAGUGAAAACGAGCUGAAUGUGGACAACAUCUGGUGAAGAUGCUAGUUCUACAAACAAGUGGCUAUUACUCCUCGGCCUGAAGUCCUAAUAUAAAACGAACAUGAUCUGCUUGAAGAUGAAGAGGGAGUUGGAUCACUAGAAAGCAGCAUGCAGACUGAUCAGGGCCCGUAUUCACGAAGCAUCUCAGAGUAGGAGUACUGAUUUUAGGAUCAGUUUUGCCUUUUAUGUAAGGGGAGCUGGUCCUAGAUCACUGUUCCUACUCUGAAGACGCUUUGUGAAUACAGGCCCGGGAAGAAAGCUGUUGCCCAAUACCUUGCACAACAGUCUUUCACCACACGACCCCAGAGGCCACUGCAUGCUGUGAAAUGGGCUUGGAUGGUAACGCAUCUUCAAGCUUCCUGACUGAAUAUUGGGGUCUUCAGUGGUUCUGGAAGCAAGGGCCUUACCUGGGAGUACAGCAACAGUCUCGCAGCCAUUCUGUCAACAUGUAUAGUACGGAACCCACUCAAACUCAUAUAAACUGCUACGGACGCCAGCACUGAUUUAUAUUUACUUUGUCCCAUUCUUUAAUCUUGUUUGAGAUAUAUAUUUUAGUUGAGACACCUGUAUGAGAGAGAUUAUUAAAAAUGUGUUCACUUUAAAUCUCAAGCUCUACGUGGAUUUGUCUUGAUGUUUAACUUAUCACAAAAGUUAGUACAAA
Salvelinus fontinalis (brook trout) is the source of this 1784-nucleotide long non-coding RNA. RefSeq lists it as uncharacterized. The record is from RefSeq and is a predicted model, not a curated record. Lineage: Eukaryota; Metazoa; Chordata; Actinopteri; Salmoniformes; Salmonidae. The transcript has 3 exons.